CUUGGCUUAAACCAGGAACUGGCACCUUUUCGGUGAAGGGCCAGUUGUUAAAUGUUUUAGCUUCAUGGGCCACGUCAGCCGGCUGCAUAUCAUCUCUACGCCCCACCCCAGUGCUUCAGAGAUGUAAAAUUCAUCCUUAGCCUGUGGGCUCCCCAUUGACCCACCUGUGGCUUAAGCACUGACAUAUUCCAUGUCCUGCUGGUGGGGGUGGGGGCUGGAGAUCCAAGGGGCCCGACCGAGAGAACGCCCAGUUGGAGAUGGAAGUGCCUGCCCUCGCCUUGGGCACCCUUGCCCAAGUGUCAUCACUUGCCCUGAGGGCCGCAGCUCUGGGCUGGUACAGUCCAUAGGCUCCGCUCCAUCCUGUUUCCACCCCCGUGUCUUUCUGUGCACCUGCCGCAGGCCAGCCUGAGAGGUCGGUACUGUCUCCCUCUCCCAGGUCGUAGGCUCCAGGACAGUAUCAGCCAGUCCAGUUCAUGGCCACCGUGCCCACUGCUGGUUCAACCUUGCAGGUCUAAGCACCGAGAGAUCAGGACUGUCUACCCUGAGCCAGCUCUGCGUCCCAGCGCAAGCAGGGAGUCAGAAUCCCUCCGUGGCCUGGGCUGGGAGUAGGUGUGCGCAUGUCACAGAACAAGCAAGGCGGUUCCUGGCCAUCCUGUGACCACAGGGUGCACCAGGAGUCGGGCGGUGCUCCAGAGAAGGGGGUGCAUUGUGAGCUUGGCAGCCUGCGUUCCGGGGUCUGCUGCCAUGACAAGUGUUGACCGAAUGGCCGCACCAUUUGGGUUUUGCCAGUCCAGCUUGUUUUUAAAAAUACAGGACAAAACCCAUUAUGUCUUCAAAGUAUCAUGGAUAUUGGUCACCUCUUAUUGGUAUUUUUUUCUUAAGAAACAAAUCAAUAAUCUGUACUCUAAAAGUGCC
RNAcentral lists this long non-coding RNA (915 nucleotides) under Marmota monax (woodchuck). Lineage: Eukaryota; Metazoa; Chordata; Mammalia; Rodentia; Sciuridae. The record is from RNAcentral.